GAUGAACGCUGGCGGCGUGCCUAAUACAUGCAAGUCGAGCGAACAGACGAGGAGCUUGCUCCUCUGACGUUAGCGGCGGACGGGUGAGUAACACGUGGAUAACCUACCUAUAAGACUGGGAUAACUUCGGGAAACCGGAGCUAAUACCGGAUAAUAUAUUGAACCGCAUGGUUCAAUAGUGAAAGACGGUUUUGCUGCCACUUAUAGAUGGAUCCGCGCCGCAUUAGCUAGUUGGUAAGGUAACGGCUUACCAAGGCAACGAUGCGUAGCCGACCUGAGAGGCUGAUCGCCCACACUGGAACUGAGCCACGGUCCAGACUCCUACGGGAGGCAGCAGUAGGGAAUCUGCCGCAAUGGGCGAAAGCCUGACGGAGCAACGCCGCGUGAGUGAUGACGGUCUUCGGAUCGUAAAACUCUGUUAUUAGGGAAGAACAAAUGUGUAAGUAACUAUGCACGUCUUGACGGUACCUAAUCAGAAAGCCACGGCUAACUACGUG
Molecule: ribosomal RNA, 497 nt
Filed under: uncultured bacterium
Lineage: Bacteria
Description: partial 16S ribosomal RNA
Rfam family: Bacterial small subunit ribosomal RNA
Source: RNAcentral